Molecule: ribosomal RNA, 549 nt
Filed under: Fusarium fujikuroi
Lineage: Eukaryota; Fungi; Ascomycota; Sordariomycetes; Hypocreales; Nectriaceae
Description: eukaryotic LSU rRNA
Rfam family: 5.8S ribosomal RNA (bases 180-333)
Source: RNAcentral
UUCCGUAGGUGAACCUGCGGAGGGAUCAUUACCGAGUUUACAACUCCCAAACCCCUGUGAACAUACCAAUUGUUGCCUCGGCGGAUCAGCCCGCUCCCGGUAAAACGGGACGGCCCGCCAGAGGACCCCUAAACUCUGUUUCUAUAUGUAACUUCUGAGUAAAACCAUAAAUAAAUCAAAACUUUCAACAACGGAUCUCUUGGUUCUGGCAUCGAUGAAGAACGCAGCAAAAUGCGAUAAGUAAUGUGAAUUGCAGAAUUCAGUGAAUCAUCGAAUCUUUGAACGCACAUUGCGCCCGCCAGUAUUCUGGCGGGCAUGCCUGUUCGAGCGUCAUUUCAACCCUCAAGCCCAGCUUGGUGUUGGGACUCGCGAGUUAAACCGCGUUCCCCAAAUUGAUUGGCGGUCACGUCGAGCUUCCAUAGCGUAGUAGUAAAACCCUCGUUACUGGUAAUCGUCGCGGCCACGCCGUUAAACCCCAACUUCUGAAUGUUGACCUCGGAUCAGGUAGGAAUACCCGCUGAACUUAAGCAUAUCAAUAAGUCGGAGGAA